AGAUGGCGACCGGCGCACGGGUGAGUAACACGUAUCCAACCUGCCGAUAACUCGGGGAUAGCCUUUCGAAAGAAAGAUUAAUACCCGAUGGCAUAAUUAGACCGCAUGGUCUUAUUAUUAAAGAAUUUCGGUUAUCGAUGGGGAUGCGUUCCAUUAGGCAGUUGGUGAGGUAACGGCUCACCAAACCUUCGAUGGCUAGGGGUUCUGAGAGGAAGGUCCCCCACAUUGGAACUGAGACACGGUCCAA
This 247-nucleotide ribosomal RNA is filed under the name uncultured bacterium. RNAcentral's name for it is "partial 16S ribosomal RNA". It matches the Rfam family "Bacterial small subunit ribosomal RNA", at positions 86 to 334 of the family's 1533-position model. The record is from RNAcentral.